AGCGAACGCUGGCGGCAGGCUUAACACAUGCAAGUCGAGCGGGCACUUCGGUGUCAGCGGCAGACGGGUGAGUAACACGUGGGAACGUACCCUUCGGUUCGGAAUAACGCCGGGAAACUAGCGCUAAUACCGGAUACGCCCUUUUGGGGAAAGGUUUACUGCCGCAGGAUCGGCCCGCGUCUGAUUAGCUAGUUGGUGGGGUAAUGGCCUACCAAGGCGACGAUCAGUAGCUGGUCUGAGAGGAUGAUCAGCCACACUGGGACUGAGACACGGCCCAGACUCCUACGGGAGGCAGCAGUGGGGAAUAUUGGACAAUGGGCGCAAGCCUGAUCCAGCCAUGCCGCGUGAGUGAUGAAGGCCUUAGGGUUGUAAAGCUCUUUUGUCCGGGACGAUAAUGACGGUACCGGAAGAAUAAGCCCCGGCUAACUUCGUG
This 433-nucleotide ribosomal RNA is filed under the name uncultured bacterium. RNAcentral describes it as "partial 16S ribosomal RNA". It matches the Rfam family "Bacterial small subunit ribosomal RNA", at positions 29 to 507 of the family's 1533-position model. The record is from RNAcentral.